GAUGAACGCUGACAGAAUGCUUAACACAUGCAAGUCAACUUGAACUUCGGUUUGGGUGGCGGACGGGUGAGUCACGCGUAAAGAACUUGCCUCACAGCUAGGGACAACAUUUGGAAACGAAUGCUAAUACCUGAUAUUAUGAUUAUAUGGCAUCGUAUAAUUAUGAAAGCUAUAUGCGCUGUGAGAGAGCUUUGCGUCCCAUUAGCUAGUUGGAGAGGUAACAGCUCACCAAGGCGAUGAUGGGUAGCCGGCCUGAGAGGGUGAUCGGCCACAAGGGGACUGAGACACGGCCCUUACUCCUACGGGAGGCAGCAGUGGGGAAUAUUGGACAAUGGACCGAGAGUCUGAUCCAGCAAUUCUGUGUGCACGAUGAAGUUUUUCGGAAUGUAAAGUGCUUUCAGUUGGGAAGAAAAAAAGGACGGUACCAACAGAAGAAGUGACGGCUAAAUACGU
RNAcentral lists this ribosomal RNA (453 nucleotides) under uncultured bacterium. RNAcentral's name for it is "partial 16S ribosomal RNA". It matches the Rfam family "Bacterial small subunit ribosomal RNA", at positions 28 to 506 of the family's 1533-position model. The record is from RNAcentral.